Molecule: signal recognition particle RNA, 276 nt
Filed under: Cebus imitator (Panamanian white-faced capuchin)
Lineage: Eukaryota; Metazoa; Chordata; Mammalia; Primates; Cebidae
Description: Metazoan signal recognition particle RNA (ENSCCAG00000005638.1)
Rfam family: Metazoan signal recognition particle RNA
About the family: The signal recognition particle (SRP) is a universally conserved ribonucleoprotein. It is involved in the co-translational targeting of proteins to membranes. The eukaryotic SRP consists of a 300-nucleotide 7S RNA and six proteins: SRPs 72, 68, 54, 19, 14, and 9.
Source: RNAcentral
GCCGAGCGAGGUGGCAUGUGCCUGUAGUCCCAGCUACUCGGGAGGCUGAGGUGGGAGGAUCGCUUGAGCCCAGGAGUUCUGGGCUGUAGUGCGCUACGCCAAUCAGGUGUCCGCACUGAGUUCGGCAUCAAUAUGGUGGCCUCCUGGGAGCGGGGAGGAGGGAUGAACCAAGCCAGGUCCGUAACGGAGCAGAUCAGUAGCAGGAUCAGUAGUGGGAUCGCACCUGUGAAUAGCCACUGCACUCCAGCCUGAGCAACACAGCGAUAACCCAUCUCU